AGGAUGAACGCUGGCGGCGUGCCUAAUACAUGCAAGUCGAGCGAACAGAUGAGAAGCUUGCUUCUCUGAUGUUAGCGGCGGACGGGUGAGUAACACGUGGGUAACCUACCUAUAAGACUGGGAUAACUCCGGGAAACCGGGGCUAAUACCAGAUAAUACAUUGAACCGCAUGGUUCAAUGUUGAAAGACGGUUUCGGCUGUCACUUAUAGAUGGACCCGCGCCGUAUUAGCUAGUUGGUAAGGUAACGGCUUACCAAGGCAACGAUACGUAGCCGACCUGAGAGGGUGAUCGGCCACACUGGAACUGAGACACGGUCCAGACUCCUACGGGAGGCAGCAGUAGGGAAUCUUCCGCAAUGGGCGAAAGCCUGACGGAGCAACGCCGCGUGAGUGAUGAAGGUCUUAGGAUCGUAAAACUCUGUUGUUAGGGAAGAACAAAUUUGUUAGUAACUGAACAAGUCUUGACGGUACCUAACCAGAAAGCCACGGCUAACUACGUGCCAGCAGCCGCGGUAAUACGUAGGUGGCAAGCGUUAUCCGGAAUUAUUGGGCGUAAAGCGCGCGUAGGCGGUUUCUUAAGUCUGAUGUGAAAGCCCACGGCUCAACCGUGGAGGGUCAUUGGAAACUGGGGAACUUGAGUGCAGAAGAGGAGAGUGGAAUUCCAUGUGUAGCGGUGAAAUGCGCAGAGAUAUGGAGGAACACCAGUGGCGAAGGCGGCUCUCUGGUCUGUAACUGACGCUGAUGUGCGAAAGCGUGGGGAUCAAACAGAAGUAGAUACCCUGGUAGUCCACGCCGUAAACGAUGAGUGCUAAGUGUUAGGGGGUUUCCGCCCCUUAGUGCUGCAGCUAACGCAUUAAGCACUCCGCCCUGGGGAGUACGACCGCAAGGUUGAAACUCAAAGGAAUUGACGGGGACCCGCACAAGCGGUGGAGCAUGUGGUUUAAUUCGAAGCAACGCGAAGAACCUUACCAAAUCUUGACAUCCUUUGACCGCUCUAGAGAUAGAGUCUUCCCCUUCGGGGGACAAAGUGACAGGUGGUGCAUGGUUGUCGUCAGCUCGUGUCGUGAGAUGUUGGGUUAAGUCCCGCAACGAGCGCAACCCUUAAGCUUAGUUGCCAUCAUUAAGUUGGGCACUCUAGGUUGACUGCCGGUGACAAACCGGAGGAAGGUGGGGAUGACGUCAAAUCAUCAUGCCCCUUAUGAUUUGGGCUACACACGUGCUACAAUGGAUAAUACAAAGGGCAGCGAACCCGCGAGGUCAAGCAAAUCCCAUAAAAUUAUUCUCAGUUCGGAUUGUAGUCUGCAACUCGACUACAUGAAGCUGGAAUCGCUAGUAAUCGUAGAUCAGCAUGCUACGGUGAAUACGUUCCCGGGUCUUGUACACACCGCCCGUCACACCACGAGAGUUUGUAACACCCGAAGCCGGUGGAGUAACCUUUUAUUAGGAGCUAGCCGUCGAAGGUGGGACA
This 1468-nucleotide ribosomal RNA is filed under the name uncultured bacterium. Its description in RNAcentral is "bacterial SSU rRNA". It matches the Rfam family "Bacterial small subunit ribosomal RNA". The record is from RNAcentral.